Long non-coding RNA from Gorilla gorilla gorilla (western lowland gorilla), 688 nucleotides. RefSeq lists it as uncharacterized. NCBI's taxonomy places the organism in Eukaryota, Metazoa, Chordata, Mammalia, Primates, Hominidae. The record is from RefSeq and is a predicted model, not a curated record. The transcript has 4 exons.
ACUUAACCCUUGACCUAGAAGAGCCUCCUGUCACCUGAAAAGGGAAAGUCGGGAUUGUAAGGAAAGGAAUCUCAUAGGGCUUCUCUGAGGAGACAAGUCAUUGGAUUGGGCUUAGACGUUCCAUCCGUGGCAAGAUUUCCGGCUUUGCCCUUUGGAGCCUGAGGAGCAAGGGUAGAAUGAGGAUCGUGAGGUUCUUCAGAGGCAGUUACUCAUGAGGUCACAGCGCAGAAACGGCAAGAAAUGUCAGGACAACUAUGGAUGUGAAGGAUGGGAGAGGGGCCUCCUUCCACAUGAGGUCCCCAAAGGACAGGGGUUCAUCCUUCUCCAUCUAGGACUUGAGGGACAUCCUUCUCCAUCCAGGACUGAGAGGCAUCCUUCUCCGUGCAGUACCUGAGGGACAUCCUUCUCCAUUCAGGACCUGAGGACGUCCUUCUCUGUACUCCCUUGGGACUGCACCCUUUCCUGUGCCAUCCUUCAGAAUGCUAGGCUGUCGCUGGUUGGGGAUUGAACUCUAGCAUCUUAUCUCUAUUCUAGGUGAAUCCCUUCACAUUUAUAGUGAUUUACCGUUUAAUCACUGUACCAUUUUCCCCAAAAUAUGUGGGGUUUGGGGUUUGGUUUUUGUUCUUACUUCUAUUAAUUCUUCGGUCCCCACCUCCAGUUGUUUUGUAAUUUCUUUUACAACCUAAUA